This 810-nucleotide ribosomal RNA is filed under the name Trichocladium acropullum. RNAcentral's name for it is "eukaryotic LSU rRNA". It matches the Rfam family "Eukaryotic large subunit ribosomal RNA", at positions 75 to 918 of the family's 3401-position model. The record is from RNAcentral. Lineage: Eukaryota; Fungi; Ascomycota; Sordariomycetes; Sordariales; Chaetomiaceae.
UUGCCCUAGUAACGGCGAGUGAAGCGGCAACAGCUCAAAUUUGAAAUCUGGCCUCGGCCCGAGUUGUAAUUUGUAGAGGAUGCUUUGGGCGCGGCUCCAACUGAGUUCCCUGGAACGGGACGCCACAGAGGGUGAGAGCCCCGUAUAGUUGGAUGCCUAGCCUAUGUAAAGCUCCUUCGACGAGUCGAGUAGUUUGGGAAUGCUGCUCAAAAUGGGAGGUAAAUUUCUUCUAAAGCUAAAUAUUGGCCAGAGACCGAUAGCGCACAAGUAGAGUGAUCGAAAGAUGAAAAGCACUUUGAAAAGAGGGUUAAAUAGCACGUGAAAUUGUUGAAAGGGAAGCGCUUGUGACCAGACUUGCGCCGGGCGGAUCAUCCGGUGUUCUCACCGGUGCACUCCGCCCGGCUCAGGCCAGCAUCGGUUCUCGCGGGGGGAUAAAGGUCCCGGGAACGUAGCUCCUCCGGGAGUGUUAUAGCCCGGGGCGUAAUGCCCUCGCGGGGACCGAGGUUCGCGCAUCUGCAAGGAUGCUGGCGUAAUGGUCACCAGCGACCCGUCUUGAAACACGGACCAAGGAGUCAAGGUUUUGCGCGAGUGUUUGGGUGUAAAACCCGCACGCGUAAUGAAAGUGAACGUAGGUGAGAGCUUCGGCGCAUCAUCGACCGAUCCUGAUGUAUUCGGAUGGAUUUGAGUAAGAGCGUUAAGCCUUGGACCCGAAAGAUGGUGAACUAUGCUUGGAUAGGGUGAAGCCAGAGGAAACUCUGGUGGAGGCUCGCAGCGGUUCUGACGUGCAAAUCGAUCGUCAAAUCUGAGCAU